GUUUAACAACAGCUGGGGAAGGGAGGAUCCUAAUCUGUAACAUUGGCUACAAAUUUUCAUAGUAAUCAAAGCUACUAAUGUGACUUCACUGAAUGUGAGUUAGUUGAAAAUGAUGCUAACCAGAAGCUAGCUUUUAUGGCUUAGUUUCCAACAAUCAGAUGUACCCAUUCAAGAUAUAUUUGUGAGCUGAGUGCAGAUGUACAUGCCUGUAACCCCAGAAACUCAGGAGGCUGAAGAAUGAGGUUGCAAGUUUGAGGCCAGCCUGGCCAACACAGCAAGACCAUGUCUCAAAAUGAAAAGAGCUGGUAAAGUUCCCCUAGGUUAAAUCCCCAGUAGAAAACAACAACAAUAAAACACUGAAAGAGAAGUGUUUGUGAAAGUGAACAACAUGAUACACUUCAACUAUACUUAGAAGACAGGAUCUUCUGGCAAACACCAUGGUGAUGUCUGGUUCUUCUAGGUAGCUAGGGAGGAGUUGUAGCAUCUCACUUUGGAGUCAUAGAUACUGACUGCCAAUUGAUGCUGGGUUUCGUGGGAUGGGUAUUCCUCCUGGCUUGAUUUUUUUCCUAGAUGUUUCUAGCUAUGAUUCCCUGGCUCUGUAAGAGAUGUGUGAGCUAAAUAAUAUCCAUUAAUCCCUUGCUACUUAAACUAACCCAGUCAUGUCCAGCUACAUAAUUUGUGGGCUUCAGAGCUAACUGAAAAUGUAGGGCCACUUGUUCAAAAGGCAGGAAAAAGGUGCCAUUUUCUACCCUAAAAUAUCUAGCUUUUUUUCUCUUCUCCCCUUCUAGUUAUAGUGUUUUAAUGUGCUUUUUUAAUGUCAAUGUAAGUAAAAAACUUAAACUUUUAAAUUCUUAGGAUAAAUUUUACCAUUCAUCUUUAUAUUAUGCAAUGCCAUUUUAAAGGGCAAAUACGAGAGCAUUUCACUCAUACAAAAUUUCACUCACCAAAAUACACAAUUGGUGUUUCGUAGCUUAUUCAUUCAGAUGUAUUCUUUUGCUACCAGAACAAUGUGAACUCUGCACAAAACUAACUCAAUUAUUUUUAUUUUACUUCUUCAUAUGCACAAUUCUAC
RNAcentral lists this long non-coding RNA (1072 nucleotides) under Marmota monax (woodchuck). The record is from RNAcentral. Lineage: Eukaryota; Metazoa; Chordata; Mammalia; Rodentia; Sciuridae.